AAACGAGCUUCUUGUCCAUAGG
This 22-nucleotide microRNA is filed under the name Sarcophilus harrisii (Tasmanian devil). Its description in RNAcentral is "Sha-Mir-7371-P29_3p (mature (guide))". The record is from RNAcentral. Lineage: Eukaryota; Metazoa; Chordata; Mammalia; Dasyuromorphia; Dasyuridae. RNAcentral also lists the same sequence under 1 other name.